AAGCCCUUACCAAUAUAUUAGAGAAAUCUAAAUCUAAUAUAAAGGAAGGGGUUGC
Molecule: microRNA precursor, 55 nt
Organism: Monodelphis domestica (gray short-tailed opossum)
Lineage: Eukaryota; Metazoa; Chordata; Mammalia; Didelphimorphia; Didelphidae
Source: Ensembl